Molecule: ribosomal RNA, 461 nt
Filed under: uncultured bacterium
Lineage: Bacteria
Description: bacterial SSU rRNA
Rfam family: Bacterial small subunit ribosomal RNA
Source: RNAcentral
CGCUGGCGGCGCGCCUAACACAUGCAAGUCGAACGAGAGAUGAGGAGCUUGCUCUUCAAAUCGAGUGGCGAACGGGUGAGUAACGCGUGAGGAACCUGCCUCAAAGAGGGGGGACAACAGUUGGAAACGACUGCUAAUACCGCAUAAGCCCACGGCUCGGCAUCGAGCAGAGGGAAAAGGAGCAAUCCGCUUUGAGAUGGCCUCGCGUCCGAUUAGCUAGUUGGUGAGGUAAUGGCCCACCAAGGCGACGAUCAGUAGCCGGCCUGAGAGGGUGAACGGCCACAUUGGGACUGAGACACGGCCCAAACUCCUACGGGAGGCAGCAGUGGGGAAUAUUGCACAAUGGGGGAAACCCUGAUGCAGCGACGCCGCGUGAGUGAUGAAGUAUUUCGGUAUGUAAAACUCUAUCAGCAGGGAAGAUAAUGACGGUACCUGACUAAGAAGCACCGGCUAAAUACGUG